Long non-coding RNA from Oreochromis aureus, 537 nucleotides. RefSeq lists it as uncharacterized. The record is from RefSeq and is a predicted model, not a curated record. Lineage: Eukaryota; Metazoa; Chordata; Actinopteri; Cichliformes; Cichlidae. The transcript is spliced from 2 exons.
CCAAGUUCAGCAGUGGGUGACCAAAAUGAACAGGAAUCUGUAGAUGAGGAAGAGGAUCAGCCAGCCACAACAGGGAGGAAGAGCAGAAGGGAUCGGGACGACGAGCUGCUUAACCUCGUCAAAGAGGACAUGCAGUACCUGUCAUGGUCUCCGUGGCUGCCCGGCCGGCCCCACAAGGCUACAUGUUCUGUUUUGGUUCUCUCUCUCUCUCUCUCUCCCUCUCUGCCUGGGCGGAGCUCACUGCGGGCUCCCGCCCUUGGCCCACACACCUGUCAUCAAUCACCAGUCAUCACCAGGAGCACUACUUGAGGCUGGGACACAGAUCCUCUCAUCGCUGGAUGAUUGUGCUUAACACUUUUCCUCCCUGGACCUGUGACCUUCCCGCUGUGUGGUUGUGUGUGAGUUGGAGUAAGAGGAGGAGACGAGUGCGCGAGCGUUUUCCCCUGGAUCUUCCCUGGGACCCUUCUCCUACCCGGAUUUCCCCCACUGUACAUAUUCUGCACUUGGUGUUGUAAAUAAACUCUGUGUUGGAACUGA